GUGGGGAAUAUUGGACAAUGGGCGAAAGCCUGAUCCAGCCAUGCCGCGUGUGUGAAGAAGGUCUUCGGAUUGUAAAGCACUUUAAGUUGGGAGGAAGGGUAGUAACCUAAUACGUUGCUACUUUGACGUUACCGACAGAAUAAGCACCGGCUAACUUCGUGCCAGCAGCCGCGGUAAUACGAAGGGUGCAAGCGUUAAUCGGAAUUACUGGGCGUAAAGCGCGCGUAGGUGGUUCAGUAAGUUGGAAGUGAAAUCCCCGGGCUCAACCUGGGAACUGCUUUCAAAACUGCAUGACUAGAGUACGGUAGAGGGUAGUGGAAUUUCCUGUGUAGCGGUGAAAUGCGUAGAUAUAGGAAGGAACACCAGUGGCGAAGGCGACUACCUGGACUGUUACUGACACUGAGGUGCGAAAGCGUGGGGAGCAAACAGGAUUAGAUACCCGUGUAGUCC
RNAcentral lists this ribosomal RNA (450 nucleotides) under uncultured bacterium. Its description in RNAcentral is "bacterial SSU rRNA". It matches the Rfam family "Bacterial small subunit ribosomal RNA", at positions 354 to 796 of the family's 1533-position model. The record is from RNAcentral.